GUAUACAAUUUUCAAGUUCUAUCAGAACUUUCGAAGGUUUUAAGGUUAUUGUUGGAGUAGUCAAAAUAAAUUUAAGGCAGUAAACAAUAUUUACAAAUGACUUGGUUUAUCACCAUAAACAAUGAGAAUAUUUUCGUUGAAACUUUGGUUUUCCAAUUUAAAUCGAGAUGCAUAACAUAACCAUAAGUAACAACUAUUGGCACCUGGAUGAAAGAUCACAAAUGAAUAAGUGCCAAAGUUUGUUAAUACAUAAAAUGACAAAUUAUGGCACUAUUAAGCACGUCAUUUUUUGUAAUAAUUUUUUUAACUGGAAAUUAUACAAAACUGCGACGACGAUUAUAAAACUGGCACAAAACCUUCGGUCAUUUUUUAAAUAUCAAACACUCAAUACUCAAGCAUAGACCAACGCAUUAAUCAGACCAACUUUUGGGAAUUAACUACACACAUUCGAUAAUCUCAAUAUUUUCAUUUAAGGAAAAAUAUCAUAAUUGAAAUAUUAAUGAUUUCCGAAUAUAAACUCGAUUAUUUUGUGCUUAGGAAGAACUUUAAUAUCAUCG
RNAcentral lists this long non-coding RNA (557 nucleotides) under Androctonus crassicauda. The record is from RNAcentral. Lineage: Eukaryota; Metazoa; Arthropoda; Arachnida; Scorpiones; Buthidae.